Molecule: long non-coding RNA, 680 nt
Organism: Coffea eugenioides
Lineage: Eukaryota; Viridiplantae; Streptophyta; Magnoliopsida; Gentianales; Rubiaceae
Exons: 2
Source: RefSeq, a predicted model, not a curated record
GAGAUAGUAGCAGAUGGCAAUGGAGUAGGGCAAGGAGGAGGAGAAGGCAUCCAAUUGACUUCAAGUGAAGGAGCCACCGCCAAUGUCAUCCUUCCGAAAUUGGGGUGGUUGCGUCUGAUUAGGCUGCCUCAACUAAAGAACAUUUUCAAGGCAGCCAUGAUCUGCAAAUCAAUCUGGUACAUUAGUAUAACAAAUUGUCCAAAUUUAAAGAGGCUGUCUUGGUUUCUUUCCACCAUCGACGGACCACCAUCUCCACCCAGCACUCUAGAGAUCAGGGGAGAAAAAGAAUGGUGGGAAUCAUUAGAGUGGGACAAUUCUUACCCAAAAGAUGCCCUUGACCCACGUUUUAGUGCAUGGAGAUGAAGUUCGAACUGGUGUUGAAGGCUACCUAUUUGAUUAAAAUCAUGAUUGGUUCUCAUGUAGCCACAAAAUUGCCGCUGUAAGAGGGGUGAUGUUGCAAAAACAAGUGCUGAUUGAAGCCGGCUACCAAAUUUCCUUUAUAGAUGAUGUUUUUUCUGCACUUGAUUGUAACUGGAACAGUGAUACAGUUUUUUGUGACUAUUUCUUGAUUAUCGAUAAAACUGUUUGGGGUAAUAUGACAAAAUUUUUGGUCAUAUUGUACUCCAAGAAUGUUUUUCCACUCUAUCAAUUUAAACCAUUCUAUACAUGUGCUUUUUCCA